UUAGCCAUAAGUGACUCACCUGUUGUACGAGGACAGGCUGAGAGAGCUGGGACUGUUUAGCCUGGAAAAGAGAAGACUGAGGGGAGACUUCAUUAAUGUGUGUAAAUAUCUGAGGAGAGGGUGUCGAGAGGAUUGAGCCAGUCUCUUUUCAGUUGUGCCCAGCGACAAGAUGAGAGGCAAUGGGCAUAAACUGAAGCACAGGAGGUUCAGGCUGAAUAUGAGAGGGUACUUCUUUACUGUGAGGGUGACAGAGCACUGG
Long non-coding RNA from Oxyura jamaicensis (ruddy duck), 259 nucleotides. RefSeq lists it as uncharacterized. The transcript is spliced from 3 exons. Lineage: Eukaryota; Metazoa; Chordata; Aves; Anseriformes; Anatidae. The record is from RefSeq and is a predicted model, not a curated record.